CCAAUUCAUUCAACAACCAAAUAAACAAAAAUUCCAAACAACAUCACAAAACUGACCCGACUGUCCCAUCGUUCUUCUUCUCCACGCAAGAAACAACGAAUAAAUCACGCUGCAAACCCAGAAAAUCAGCAGCAAAUCGCGACCUCUAGCCACACUUCUAGCUGUGUCGUCCUCUCCUUUUUCCUUAUCCUUCCGUACCAGGAGUCAUUGGAGAAUCCAAGUGUCUCAAUCUCCUAUUUUGUCCGCUCUUUCUCUAAGAUCGGACGACCAUCCUUUCCAAGCUGUUGAGAGUUGGUACAAUUCUUGGCUGGCAAACUUAUCUCCUAAGAGGAGGGUGAUUUUCGAAUUUCAAAUCCAACGGUUUCCUCCCAAAUCACUCAAGCUCCCCCUAUAAAUGGCCCCAUCUCCUCCAUGUUUUAAGAUGAUGUCUUAGAGUGGAGAGGGAGUAAGUAUUAGGGGGAACUUUGGAAGUUUCAGAUUAUUGAAUCUUCUCGUCUCAUCGGAGCUUCGCCGGAGUUUCAUUUGAAUCUAACUUGUGGUGGUAGAUGCUUCAUUGUUAAGCUUUUUGUCCUAGUCUCGCUGCUCCAAAAGAGACUACUUAUCAAGACAAAACUACUCAGACUGAGAACAAAAAUGAAGAUACAAUCGAAGAGCUACUCAAAGUCAUUACUACACUUUGUAUCAUAGUGGACGAUGAGAUACAAAAGCUAAAGACUAAUGAAGAUAACCUGAAGUCUAAAGCUAAUAUAAGUCAACAACAUGACUAUAAAAAUGCGGAGCUACGUCGAUCGGAAGAUGAUAAAAUUUCAGAGAUGAAAGGAGACGAUGGGAAACUCCCUAAAACCCAUAACGUUUGUUUAAAUACAGCUGCAGGUACAAGCAGGAAUGUUAGUGAGAAAUCACGAAAUACAAACUUACACCAGUUAUUUAUAAAACCAUUUACCCAAAACACACAAAAACAUAUAUCCACAGAACCGCAAACUUCUACAUACGCAGUUAGUAUACAGAGUGAUAAAAAAAGAUACAACUAUAUCCAAACCUAUUUAAAUCUCAACCCCAGAUCUAACCAAACCGAAGAUCCAAACCGAGACUAUAUAACCCAAAAAUUACAAGGAUAUAAUAGACUUACAGCACAACAAAAAAUUAGUGCUAAUCUAGUCAAGACAUGUUAUAGUUAUCGAUUACUAAGUACAGUAUAUACAUACGACGAAGAAGAAAUUAGUGGAAUACCAGAGUUAUAUAAAACAUUUAUUACAUAUAAAAGAGUUACAAAAGGAAACUUGUUUUAUAUUAUGUUUUAUACAGCACUAGCAGAGAUAUUGUAUGAAGAAAUUAAGUCACCGAUUCAAGUUAUAAAGAUAGGAUUAAUAAAAGAUAUACCAUACCAGAAGAUAUUGGACAUCAGAACGAAAUAACAAAGAUAGAAAUACCAAGUUUUUAUGCCAAUAAAAGAAUAAUUGGUAUAUCAACUAUCAUACAGGAAUUAGCAAACAACUAUUUAAAUGGAAACGCUACAUGAAAUUAUUACGCUAGAGAUGUUAUGAUAUAUUCGUAUUCGAGGGAGUUAAGAAGAGCAGAUAUGGAUGAAGUCCAGCGAUUGAUUUUGUCACUAUUAAAACUAGAAGAACAAUCUACGACAAGAGCAUUGAAAAAGGAUUUAUUGUGGAAGAAUUAUUAAUCAGAUAUUGCAAACUUAUUGGACACAAAUAUCCAGAUCACAGAAACUCCAAAUGCAAUGGAGAGGAAGAUAACAUUAUACCAUAUGUUGAUUUGGAAUAAGGAUAAGGAGAUAAAGAUGCAAGAUAAGAUAAGGAUGAAGAAAAGAAAAAGAAUUAUAGCAGACAAAAAGAUAGAAAUCUUUGAAAAACUGUAAACAUAAAGAGAUAAGAUUCCUUUGUACAGUUAAUAACUUUUGCUUUUUUGAAAGGCCAAUGUGUAUAGCCGGCCAUUUGUAAAGUUUUAUUUAAAAAGUCGUAAAGUAUAUAGUAGACGCACUUAUGUGCAGACUUAGGAUUUAGUAUAUAUAGAUUGCGAAAUUGUAAAUGAAAGGCAGACAAUGCCAAACUAAAGUUCAAGUUAAUAAACUCUCUCUCAAAAUA
Molecule: long non-coding RNA, 2099 nt
Organism: Solanum lycopersicum (tomato)
Lineage: Eukaryota; Viridiplantae; Streptophyta; Magnoliopsida; Solanales; Solanaceae
Source: RefSeq, a predicted model, not a curated record